Molecule: ribosomal RNA, 425 nt
Filed under: uncultured bacterium
Lineage: Bacteria
Description: partial 16S ribosomal RNA
Rfam family: Bacterial small subunit ribosomal RNA
Source: RNAcentral
GUGGGGAAUCUUGCGCAAUGGGCGAAAGCCUGACGCAGCCAUGCCGCGUGAAUGAUGAAGGUCUUAGGAUUGUAAAAUUCUUUCACCGGGGACGAUAAUGACGGUACCCGGAGAAGAAGCUCCGGCUAACUUCGUGCCAGCAGCCGCGGUAAUACGAAGGGGGCUAGCGUUGCUCGGAAUUACUGGGCGUAAAGGGCGCGUAGGCGGACAGCUUAGUCAGAGGUGAAAGCCCAGCGCUCAACCUUGGAAUUGCCUUUGAUACUGGCUGUCUUGAGUUUGGUAGAGGUGAGGUGAACUCCGAGUGUAGAGGUGAAAUUCGUAGAUAUUCGGAAGAACACCAGUGGCGAAGGCGACUCACUGGCCCAAUACUGACGCUGAGGCGCGAAAGCGUGGGGAGCAAACAGGAUUAGAUACCCCAGUAGUCC